CAUGCUAGACGAGUUCGAUCAUGGCUCAGAACGAACGCUGGCGGCACGCUUAACACAUGCAAGUCGAACGAAGCACAGAUUUCGGUCUGUGACUUAGUGGCGGACGGGUGAGUAACACGUGGGAACCUACCUAUUAGUGGGGGAUAACUGCUGGAAACGGCAGCUAAUACCGCAUACGCCCUUCGGGGGAAAGAUUUAUCGCUAAUAGAUGGGCCCGCGCCGGAUUAGGUAGUUGGUAGGGUAAUGGCCUACCAAGCCGAUGAUCCGUAGCUGGUCUGAGAGGAUGGCCAGCCACACUGGGACUGAGACACGGCCCAGACUCCUACGGGAGGCAGCAGGUGGGGAAUAUUGGACAAUGGGGGAAACCCUGAUCCAGCGAUGCCGCGUGAGUGACGAAGGCCUUCGGGUUGUAAAACUCUUUCACCUGUGAAGAUUAUGACGGUAGCAGGAGAAGAAGCACCGGCAAACUCUGUG
Molecule: ribosomal RNA, 474 nt
Filed under: uncultured bacterium
Lineage: Bacteria
Description: bacterial SSU rRNA
Rfam family: Bacterial small subunit ribosomal RNA
Source: RNAcentral